AUCCCAGCCCAGCUAGUUCUGCCCAUGCAGCAGAGCUCCACAAAAGUGCGGGAAUGUCUGACAGGGAAGAAUCAGAGAAACCUUCACCAGCAGCCCGACAUUCACCUGGACGGACAGUGCACUUUUCUUACGUCUGGGCAGGGAAGGCAGGGCGCACCAUCUACCGCAGGCUAGGAUGAUCACCAACCGCCCCACCGCACCCUGCGCCAGCCCUACGGCGCCCGCGGGCUGCAAGUAGCGGCGACCCAGGAGCAUGCGCGCUGCCGCCCCUGGCCUGCCAGGACCCAGAGGGAGCGGAGCACGCGCCUUUGGGAAUCUUCGGUGCGCCAAGUCUGUUCGCCGCCGGGGUCUAUCACCCCCGCCCCUCGCCUCUGCCCGUGAGCGUCAGCUGGCUUGGCUUUUUCAGAGGAAACAGAGACUCUCAGACAUGAAUACUGUGACACUGACCACCAGGCCAACUUAACAUCAGCAGAUAUCCUGUCUCAGAUGAAGAGACAGUUAAUCAGAGACUUACUCCAACCCAGAAGUUUAUACCAAAAGACUUGAUUAGCGCAAUAAAAGCACUAAAUGAGGAGCUCGGAUUAAUUAUUGAUUUAACAUACACCACAAGAUAUUAUGAAGUUAAGAUGGAGUCUCGCACUGUCGCCCCAGUUGGAGUGUAAUGGUGCGAUCUCGGCUCACUGCAAGCUCCGCCUCCCGGGUUCAUGCCAUUCUCCUGCCUCAGCCUCCUGAGUAGCUGGAACUACAGAUUUUGCAAUUGUGAAUUGUGCUGCUGUAAACAAGUGUGUAAUGGCCUGUCCAGAAGACAGCCAAAUACAUCCUUCAAACAGACUUCACUGCAGGAGACAGAGUGGAUUCAUCCUGUAUUCUCCAUGUAGACUUCCAUCUUCAUGAGUACUCCAAGAAGAUGGUUCAGUUGACUAUUGCAAAGUCUCAGGUAUGUCUUUAUCAGCAGCAUGAAAAUGGACUAAUAGUACCAGUAGAGUGGGGCAUUGCUGAAAAGAUACCCGAAAAUGUGGAAGCAACUUUGGAACUGGGUGUUGAAAUAAUCUGGAGGGCUCAGAAGAAGAUAGGAAAAUGUAGGAAAGUUUGGAACCUCCUAGAGACUGUGAAUGGCAUUGACAAAAAUACUGAUAGUGAUAUGAACAAUAAGGUCCAGGCUGAGGUGGUCUCAGAUGGAGAUGAAGACCUUGUUGGGAACUGAAGUAAAGGUGACCCUUGUUAUGUUUUAGCAAGGAGACUGGCAGCAUUUCACCCUUGCCCUAGAGAUUUGUGGAACUUAGAGCUUGAGAGAGAUGACUUAGGGUAUCUGGUGGAAUAAAUUUCUAAGCAGCAAAGCAUUCAAAAGGUGACUUGGGUGCUGUUAAAAACAUUCUGUUUUAAAAGGGAAACAAGAGCAUAAAUGUGGAAAAUCUGCAGCCUGAUGAUGCAGUAGAAAAGAAAAACCCAUUUUUUUUAAGGAGAAAUUCAAGCUGGCUGCAGAAAUUUGCAUAAGCAGCAAGGAGCCUAAUGUUAAUCCCCAAGACCAUGGGGAAAAUGUCUCCAGGUCAUGUCAGAGACCUUCAUGGCAGCCCCUCCCAUCACAGGCCCAGAGGCCCAGGAGGAAAAAGUGGUUUUGUGGGCUGGGCCCAGGGUCUCUGUGCUGUGUGCAGCCUAGGGACUUGGUGCCCUGUGUCCCAGCUGCUCCAGCCAUGGCUGAAAGGAGCCAACAUAGAGCUUGGGCUGUGGCUUCAGAGGGUAGAGGCCCCAAGCAUUGGCAGCUUCCAUGUGAUGUUGAGCCUGUGGGUGCAGAGAUGUCAAGAAUUGAGAUUUGGGAACCUCUGCCUAGAUUUCAGAAUAUAUAUGGAAACACCUGGAUGUCCAGGCAAAAGUUUGCUGCAGGGGCAGAGCCCUCAUGGGGAACCUCUCCUAGGGCAGUGUGGAAGGGAAAUGUGGGGCAGAGCCCCCACACAGAGUCCCUGUUGGGGCACUGCCUAGUGGAGCUGUGAGAAGAAGGCCACAGUCCCAGAACGGUAGACCCCAGAAUGGUAGACCCCAGAAUGGUAGAUCAACCACCAACUUGCAUCUUGUGCCUGGAAAAGCUACAGACACUCAACAUCAGCCUGAGAAAGCAGCCAGGAGGGAGGCUGUACUCUGCAAAGCCACAGGGGCGGAGCUGCACAAGACCAUGGGAACCUAUCUCUUGCAUCAGCAUGACCUGAAUGUGAGACAUGGAGUCAAAGGAGAUCAUUAUGGAGCUUUAAAAUUUGACUGCCCCACUGGAUUUCAGACUUGCAUGGACCCUGUAACCCCUUUGUUUUGGCCAAUUUCUCUCAUUUGGAACAGCUGUAUUUACCCAAUACCUGUACCCCCCAUUGUAUCUAGGAGGUAACUAGCUUGCUUUUACAGGCUUGUAAGUGGAAGGGACUUGCCUUGUCUCAGAUGAGACUUUGGACUGUGGACUUUUGGGUUAAUGCUGAAAUGAGUUAAGACUUUGGGGAACUGUUGGGAAGGAAUGAUUGGUUUUGAAAUGUGAGGAUUAUGAAAUUUGGAGGAGCCCAGGGAGGAAUGAUAUGGUUUGGCUGUGUCCCCACCCAAAUCUCAACUUGAAUUGUAUCUCCCAGAAUUCCCACAUGUUGUGGGAGGGACGCAGUGGGAGGUAAUUGAAUCAUGGAGGCCAGUCUUUUCUGUGCUAUUCUCGUGAUAAUAAGUCCCACAAGAUCUGGUGGGUUUAUGAAGAGUUUCUGCUUUUGCUUCUUCCUCAUUUUGCUCUUGAUGCCACCACGUAAGAAGUACCUUUUGCCUCCCACCUGAUUUUGAGGCCUCCCCAGCCAUGUGGAACUGUAAGUCCAAUUAAACCCUUUUUGUUUCCAGUCUCAGAUAUGUCUUUAUCAGCAGCAUGGAAACGAACUAAUACAAUCAUAGUUUUUAAAAACCAAUCUAAAUGUAACUAUUGAACAUGAUUAGCUGUUUCAUCCCUAGUAGAGUGACAGAAGGAAACAUCCAUAGACAGGAGUAAUAAGAAACCAGCUAAACUUCUAAACCAUUUUUAAAGGAUGCGUGUGAGCUGGCAUAACCUACCUACUCUUUCCUAUGGGCCUCUACUGAGAGCAUGGAGGUAAUACAUCUAAUACACUGAAGACCAGGGCAAGAGAGCUGGAAGAAAUCCCUCUUAAGCACUCCAGGCCUUCACUGAGUAUGAGGUGCUGGUCUCCAAAGGCAGAGGGCAAGGCAAGGCAGAGAGGGAUCUCCUGGGGCACAGACAACUGACAAAAGAAACACUUGGAUUGUUGUAUAAGAGGAGUGAGCUUUGUAAAUACCACGUUAGCUGGCCUGCUGUGGAACAGAAUGCCUGUGAAUGACAGUAGUCAGGUAGUGGAUGAACACUGAUCUGAGAGCCUGUAAAAGAAACUCUUUGGAAUGAUAAUGUCAUCUAGACCUUUGAUACGCAAAGUGUGAUUCCUGGACAGAUGUAUUGGCUUUACCUGGCAGCUUGUUGGAAAUGUAAAACCUCAGGCCUCACCCCAGACCUACUGAAUUAUUUAUAUUAAUUAAAAUUAAAUAAUUUUUAUUUCAACAAAAUCCCUGGGUAAUUUGUAUGUACAUUAAAUUUUGAGAUGCAUGAUCUUUUAAGGUUCAUUCUAAUCCUUAAAAUUCUGUUUUAAUAAUGUGUACAAUGAAGUGCUGCAUGGCAAACUACACAGAAACUAAAGGCAUGUUCCAAAAAGGAAAAGUUCCAUGUGGCUAGGGGAAUAAAAGCUUCAUCAGGGAACCAGGAGUUGGGCUGGUUCUUAAAACCUGGAGAAAGAAGAUGGUUACAUCAAGAGAUAAAUAGAGUGAAGCAGAACUAGUGGUGCGGACCAGCUCGCCAGCAACAGAAGGGUUUGUAGUCGGCCUGGCAGUGGACAGGGAGGUUGGCUAGAACUAUUACCUUAGGUCCGUGAUAAUAUCCCUGAAUCCAACUUUUCAGAAAGAAAUAGGUAACAUAUUUUUCACCAGGAAGCUUCACCCAGACACUGAACAGAAUGGUCUCAGUGCACUAAUGGAGGCUCAGUUAAAGGGUUGUGGUAGCACAAGGAAGAGACAUUCUGACUUGGAAAUUUGGAGAAGGCUUCACAAAUGAAGGGGCAUUUGAAAUGAGCUUUGAAGGUGCAAGAGUAUUCCAAGUUGAGAAGACAACCUGAGUGGUGUUGGGUGAACAGUCAUUCUACCUGGCUGUAGUGUAGUAUAGUGUAGUGUAGUGUAGGAAACAUCAGAGGAGUGGAGUGGGAUAUGAGCCUGGAGAGAGCUGGCGGCCAUGGAUCAUUGAAAGCCUUGAAUGUCUGAUGGGGAGGUUGACUUUAUUUUGUAGGCAAUGGAAAGCCACCAGUGGUUUUAGUUGAGCAGCAAUGAAAUUAAGCCUGUGCUUUGCAAAGAUUAAUCUAGCAGCAACAGAUUGGAAGCAACACCACCAUUCCUGGUAUCAGUCCAGGUAAAAUAUAUUACAGCUCUUUACUGGAGCAAUAACAGUAAUAUUAGAAGGAGAAAUAAAAAAGAAAAAUAUUGCACAGGCAGAAUGGGGAGGUCCCAGUGAUGGAGCUGAUCUUGGUUCAUUGAGGCAGGGGUGGCAUUAAUCAUGUAAAACACAGGAGGAGGAACUGGGUUAGGAGUAAUGGUAGAGUUCAGUUUAGGUAAUUGCAAAUACACACUAUUCCCUGACUAGCUCCCAAGACUUUUUCUUCCCUCUCUUCUUAGAACUUCAUUAGAAGAGGUGAUGUUAUUUCUUAGAUGAGAGUAUCUUACUUACCAUUGACUAAUACAUGUUCUCUGAUGAACUUUGCUAUUCAACAUACAUGCAAAGGGGUUAUAAAAACAAGUCAACUCUAGUGCUGAUGAGGGUGAUCAUCAUCACUGAUCAUGGUGUCAGUUGAUUAUAGUGUCAAUUUAUAACUUAAUUUAUGUAAAAUAGAGCAAUGCAAAAGACAUAGCAAUCUUCACUUCAAAUGAAGAGUCUUGAAUGCCACUUUUCUAAAGAGAAGGCUCAUGGAGGCACCUCCUCACUAUUGAAAAAUCCAUUAUACCUGUGAUAAAACUGAUUGUGUUCAGUUGUAUUAGAUUUGUAUGCAAAUAAAAAGUUGGGUAAUUAGCUAUACAUUGUCCUAAACGUAUAAAAUAAGAAAAAUACAUAGAUGUAUGGUUUCCUAGGACAUCUACCAGUUUAGAAUGCGAGGCUAAUGUGGGAGCUGCCACAGCAUCCUGAUUAAGGCUAUGGAAAGAAGUUGCAGACUGAUGAUGUCUUAGAAGUAAUGACAUUUUUUAAAGAUAAUAUUUCUUUGGUGAGAUAAACAGAUUAUAUUUUACAGUAAACACAUUUUAUAUUUCAGUUAAUAAGACAUUGUAUAUUAAAUAAUCGCAUUUAAUGCUUUACUUUUUUCCUGUGUUAAAAUUAAUCACUCAUGGCCUUGGCCAUAUGACUUUGCCAUUCCUCCCACUGUUUAUCUGACUUGUUUAUAUUUUAUUGAGCUUGCUCAUAUGACUUACAAUAGCCUGUGACAGAAGUGACAGGAGACCCCAUCCUGACCAAGACCUUAAGAGGCAUCCUAGUUUCCUCUCACUUUCACGAGCCUCUGCGGGGUUCAUCAUGAGAACAUAUCCCUAGAAACCACUGGACAAGGAGAACAAGAGGUAUAUGGAAUAGGUCUGAUCCACCCUUACCACCUGAAGUAGAGCUGCCCAGCUGGCUUGCAGACUCACAAACAUGAAAAUCAAUGUUUACUGCAGCAAUUCAUGAAACUUUGAGGCUGUUAUAAAAAGUAAAGGACCUAAUACAAAUGGAAAGAAACAUGGUUAGUAAGCAAAGCUAGUUAUGAGCAGCUGUCAUGUUCUAACAGUUGGAAUUUGAAUCAGAGCAACUAUUGGUAUUUGAAUCAGAGAGGGGCCAGACCAGUUUGGGUGAAACUCAGUUCAUCUUUUAAACUGACAAUAAAGGGAAUAUAUUUUCAUAGUAAUUUUAUCAUUAUGUGGCAAACUUUGUUCUGUGAGCUAUUAAAAUAUUCAUCUUGGCCAGGUGCAGUGGCUUACGCCUGUAAUCUCAACACUUUGGGAGGCCAAGGCAGGAGGAUUGCUUGAGGGCAGGAGUUCGAGACCAGCCUGGACAACAUAGGAAAACCCUGUCUCUACAGAAAAAAAAAUAGCUAGACAUGGUGGUGCACACCUGUAGUCCUAGCUACUUAGGUGCACACCUGUAGCCUUGCUUGAGCUUGGGAGGUCGAGGCUGCAGUGAGCCAUGAUCAUGCCACUGCAUUCCAGCCUGGGCAACAGAGCAAGACUAGCUCCAAAAAAAAAAUCAUCUUUAUUUUAAUAUUCAAAUUUACAUUUUGAGUAUGGAAUGUAAGCAUCAAGAAUUAAUCUUUAAAUCCAGAUGAAACUUUCCCAAGGUCUCUUGUCAUGCAUCUUGGACUGAAUAACAGGCAUCCCUGCCUUCACAUCUUCAUGGGAAGGCAACAAAACCUGAGGAAUACAACCUAGGAUCUCAAAAGCUUUUUUAGGAAUAAUGUCAUAUAUAAUAAAUAAUAGCAAGAAUGUUACAGCAUCUAUAGCUCUUUAAACUACCUCCCAAGGGAAAGACAAUGAGGGCUUAGUUCCUGUGUCUUUUAAACUUUAACUUUACGUGUAUUUUUUUGGACAUGUGCUGUCCAGUAUGGUAGCUACAAGCCACAUGUGAGGUGAACACACAGCUAGUCCUAAUUAAGAUGUGCUGUAAAUGUAAUAGACACAAAAUAUUUUGAAAAUUUAGUAUGAGAAAAAUAUUAACAAUUUUUAUAUUGAUUCCUUGAUAGUAUUUUGGAUUUAGUUGCUUUCUGAAAACUCUCCUGUGUUACCCAGUUUGAGUGUACCAUACCAUCCAUCUCUUGCAGGGACCUUGACUGAUACAACAUUAAAAUGAAGUGUAAUUUUAAAAAAUUUUAUUUACAUAUUUCUUAUUAAGAAUUGGAUGAAUUGAAACUUCUUUAUUUUCUUUCUCUUUCUUGUCACACAGAAAGCCUGAUUAAGUAGCAUUAUUCUUUUGUCUACAGAAGUAACCACUUCUGGCCAGGCAUGGUGGCUCACUCCUGUAAUCCCAGCACUUUGGGAGCCCGAGGCAAUAGGAUCACCUGAGAUUGGGAGUUGGAGACCAGCCUGGCCAACAUGGUGAAACCCUGUCUUUACUAAAAAUACAAAAAUUAGCCGGGUGUGGUGGUGGGCACCUGCAAUCCCAGCUACUCGGGAGGCUGAGGCAGGAGAAUUGCUUGAACCCAGGAGGCGGAGGUUGCAGUGAGCCGAGAUAGCACCACUGCACUCCAGCCUGGGCAAUGGAGUGAGACUCUCUCUCAAAAAAAAAAAAAAAAAAAAAAAAAAGUAAUGACUUCUGCUGAUCUUUUUUCUCCCCUAUAGGUUCAUAGAAAAAAAACUCCCACCUUAUAAAGGAAUCUUUAAAAGGUUCCUCAUAAAGGAACAGGGUUAGCAGAACCAAGUUUUGAGUCCUGGGUGAAAAUCCAGGGGAGAAUGGUAAUCAGUGAUAACCAAUGGCCAAUCCAAUAUUAAAAUUAGUUAACAGUGACCAAUCUUAUUUCACCUACCCCACCCAGAGUGGCCCAAAGCAGAUUGCUGGAUCUGCCUCUAAACCAACCUUCCUGCCAAAAUAAUUGGGGUUAGGUUGUGUCUGCUGAUUGUCUCCAUAAUUUGAGAUUUUAACAAGUUGAGUUUGGCUCCCAAAUACCUUAAAGGAUUUUUUUUUUGGCAUCUCUGGGGAGGGGGAGAUUGGACGUAGGCAACCAAACAGGAAUGGAAUAAGAAAAGAUUUGUGUUCUCUGAAGGAGACUUGUGAAGUCUAAUUCCAACUUGCUGAGGGAAAGUGUUUAGAAAAGAAAAAGCAAUAGGCUUCAACCAGAAGACAUGAGUUGGAGUAUCUGCUCUGCCAUGUAGUAGUUUGUGUGAUCCUCAUUUGUAAAAUGGAAAUACUAUUUACACCCUUAUGGGUUGUUGUGAGGGUCAGAAUAGAUUGUGUGCAUGACAGUGCUUUGUAUACGCAGACAGAAGGAAAAAAGCGGCUGUUAUUGGCUCAACUUAUUUGACCUUUAUUUUCAUCAUCAUCGGCCACUAUUUGAUGUCAAUCUACUAUGCUGUGAGCAAACAUUAAAAUUAGGAAGCCAGGGGUAUGGGAACCACUGAUUAGCAUCAUAUGCCAGAUGUGCUUCCAUCCAAAGCACAUGAACAGAAUGAUAUUAAAUUACAAGCCUAUCAGGAACAGACCAGCUUUCUGCCUCCCUUUCUAUGAAUACCAAGUCCCAUGAACCUUGUAUUCAUGUGGAGUUUUAAGUGCAUGCUUGGAAGUUAUGAGGAGACAGCCUGGUAUGUUCGGGAAAGAAAAUAAAGGUUAGGUACAUGGUAGGCUUUGGCUCAGCCAUUUGGGCAAAUGACUUAACCUCUCUGAACCUCAGUUUCUGUUUCUAUGAAGUGGGAAUUGUAAUACCUACCUUCUUCAGAUUGUUGUGAGGAUUAAAUGAGAAGAUGAAUGUAAUACCCUUGAGCACACAGCGUGGUACACCACAAAUGCUCAACCAACAGCAGCGAUGACAGUAUAGGCAACUACCACAAGAAAGAAUUUGAACAUGUCCCAAUUCGAAUUUUGAUUCCUAAUCAAGAUCUAGUGAAUUUAACCUAAGUAGCAGAAAAGAAGAUUAAGAGUUCCUUUCCACAGCUUUAUUAAGUUUUUAUAUUCACCUGGAUGUUGUCAAAAGUGACUUGAUCAUUCAAGAGAUAGGGGACAUUUGGCUUCCGGUUUGUGUGAGAGCUUUUCUUUCCCCAUCAGCUCAACAGUCAGUCCCCAGAUCUAGAGAUGGAGAGCUUGGGACAAGGUCAGAAUGAAACAUCACCAGUCAAUCCUGCUCAACAGGUAACUCUUGCAGCAAUCCUUAAGGAAAGGGGUGCAGGGUCUCUUCAUGUUUCCAUGGUAAGGUCUAUAGCUGCUGCUUCAUGGAAUAAGCAAACAAAGCCCAUGUUGUGUGACGGGUGGCAACACUUUCAGACUUGGAUCCUGCACAUUCUGAUGUGUAAAUUCCACGAUAGGGCAAAAGCAUGCCACUCCACACUAAUGCUGCCCUCUCACUAAAUUAAACCUUGGAAAAAUAAGAUGUGGCUUGGCUUUAAAACUCAGUGAACUAUCUUUAUGGUACAGUUGGUUUCCAUAGCUGUAAACACAAAAGAUCUAUGGUUUCUGCCUACCCAGGAUAGUCUUGUCUCUAGACAAUGUAUUGAUGAUGCAAAUGUUCUGGAACUAAAUAGUGGUGAUGGUGGCACAACACUGUGAAUGUACUAAAUGUCACUGAUUUGUACGUAUUUAAUAUGAAUUAAAUGUUAAAAUGGUGAAUUAUAUUUAUGUAUAUUUUACCAUAAUAAAAAUAUGCAUUGGAAGAUGCAUUUUUUGUGACCCUGAGUUGUAACUGUAUUUUUAUUUGUGACAUGUAUAUACCACCUACCUCAUAGUAAGCCCUGAUGUUUGAAUGCAUAUAUUUACAUCUGCUUUUUGCAAAUCUCAGGUCUGAGUGUUCCACUCUGUAGCAUUUGGGUAUCACCUAGGAAUAUGUGAUUUAUUGACAUACCUGCUUUGGGUGGGAUUGAGAACUGUAUUGACUGCAUGAGCACAUAUAUUUCCUUAUAAAACUCUUUGGCUUUAGCACAUAUUUGCCUACUGUAGAAAAUUCUCCUACCCACAGAGCAGGCUGGGAAUGGAAUGUGUGUCUGCCUUCUCCAAAGGCAUCAUAUGGCUUUCUUAAUGGAUGGCAAACAGGAGAGAGAAAGGGGUUCUUAAAGAGUACAACUGAACCAGUUCCUGAGAUUCUUCUUUCAGCCAGCUCAGCCUCCUAUCACAGGACUCAAGACUCUCAGUUCUUCUAGACAAAGUCAAUAUUGUUCUUUUAUAAAGCAAAGAUUAUGAAAGGUGUCAGGUCUUUAAAACCUAUACAAGCACAAAGUACAAAGGAGAAAGGUGUAGCUGGGAAAAACUCAUGAAAGAGACAGUAUCUGCCGAAGUCCUUGAGGCAAAGGAUAUUGAAUACCUCCAAAAGAAAGGCUUCAGUAAAAGCCAAGGAAGCUUCACACUCGUCAAGACUGGCCCUGGCAGACAGGGAAGGAUGGCCUUGAACACUGCGAUGGAGGAAAAUGCUCCCUGGACGAUUUUUUUCCUCACUCCAGCCAGCAUAUUUCAGCUGCUUUUGCUAUACCAUAUCUUUCCAGAAAUAUGAAGGCUUGUGAAAGAUAAGCAAGCCUAUGAUGGCCACUGUGAAAAGGACCAGGGAGAAUAGAACCAUGAGGAAGACAUAGGUGGAGUGGGAGAGAGGUGUGGACAAUGGUUGCUCAGCUGGGAUCAUGUUGGUCAGGUUCAGCAUGUAGCCCAAAGUCCAGCCGGCGUCGCUGCCCUGGAUCUGCAAACAGUGGGGAAAGUCUGUUUGUGGUUGGAGGAGUUAGAAGAGUUAUCACCUAGGGCUUAGAAUUAUUGGAUCAUGCAUUGGAAGAGUUCAAACAAUAUAAAUCACUGGCUGGGCACAGUGGCUCAUGCCUGUAAUCUCAGCACUUUGGGAGGCCAAGGAGGGAGGAUCACUUGAGGCCAGGAGUUUGAGACUAGCCUGGGCAACAUAGUGAGACCCUGUCUCUCUAAAAAAUAAAAUUAGCUGGGCACGGUGGAACAUGUCUGUAGUCUCAGCUAUUUGGGAGCCUGGGUGGGGAGGAUCAUUUAAUCCCAGGAGUUUGAGGCUUCAGUGAGCUGUGAUCAUACCACUGCACUCCAGCCUGGGUGACAGCGUGAGACCAUGUCUCUUAAAAAAAAAGUAUAUACACACACAUACAUCAUGACUACCUCGUGUGUCAGUCCUAAAUUUGACAUAGGUAUAAUCUUUCAAACAAAAUAAACUGCUGGAAUUAAAGGAAGUCUGGAAUAUUAUAACAAGGAAAAGAUUUAAGUUUGAAUUAGCAAGAUCAGCACUGACAAGAGUGUAAGGACACUGUUAUCCUCAGGCCUGCUACAGCCCUCUGUCUCAAUGCUUUGUUUUGCUUGAAAUCACCAUAUUUAAUACAGGGGGUAAAAUGUUUUCCCCACUAGUGAGCAUGGGCUUAAAAAGGUAGAGACACACUGCUCUGGGUAUUUUUGGUCAAGCAUGAGUCGCUCAGCUGGGUUCUCUAUUCCUGGAUACCUGCAGGUGGUGCUAUGGUAAAGCACAGCAUUGAGGUUGCUUCUUCCGGACUCAGGCUAAGCCUGGCUUCUAAACAACGGUCUCAUCAUUCACAGCCACUCAGUCCCCUUCUUCACACAGAGCUUUCAGAUUGGUCAACCUUGAAGUAAUAACCAACAAGGAUGAUGAAACCAUGAUCAUACUUUCCCAGCUUAUGGAAGGGGCCUUUCAGAGGGCUGCUGAAGUCAGCACACAGAGUCACUGUAGCUGCUGAAAUGCUGUUACUUUAAUAUAUCUCGUUUUGUGUUUUGUUUUGUAAGGAAUUAGUCACUGUUAUGUGGGAAGGUGCAACUGAAAAUGCAAGUAGCUGUCCUUAGCGAGGAUGCUCACAGUGGGCCAACAGACCCAGGAGGGCUUGACACAGAAUGCCAGGGUUUGAAGCAGAAUGGCAGAACAGGACAUCAAGCCAAAGCUACACCAUGCUGACUCCCCCCUUUUUCAAGCCCCAAACUGCUUCAGUCACUACCACCGAACCCCAACCUCCCCCCAGCCCAACAGGCCCCCAAAUUACCUUGCCAAUGAAAUGGAUGUGCUCCCAGGAAUCAGCUGUGAAAUGAUAGCCUUGCAGAAGGAGGGAGAGAAUGUAGGUACCAGAAAAGCAGUAUUCACUCAGGUACUUCUCCUUUACUCCAGCGUAAGAUGUUUUUAUCUAGAAGUGAAGUGAGGGGGAGAUCAUACUCGUAUGAUAGGCACCUCUCUGUGGCCCUCUUUUUCUCUACUAGCCCUGAUGAAGAGAGGGGAAAGCCCCAGCUCCAGUGCACCUGAAGGUUGGCCUCUUCCAGAGGGUUUUGGGGGUGGUGCUGCACUCCUUCAGUGGGAGCAGGGUUUUAUAGUUUAGGGUCUCUUAAGGAAGCUUUUCCUGCACAGGCUUCUAUGAGAUAAUAACAGGUCCUCCAGGAAAAAAGUAGUUCCUGUGGUCUAGUAGGUUCUGAAACACUAAAUUUCAGUACCUCUGUUCAUGCCCUAGACUUUGUUUAAUCUGAGUUUUCUAUAUGCUCUUGACCAGAGCCUUUGGCCCACAGCCAUAAAAAGCCUUACCACUCACUUUAGUCCCUGGACUGGCAGCAUCAGCAUCACUUGGGAGCUGGUUAGUCCUCACCUUAAAACUACCAAUUCAGAAUCUGCAUCCCAAUAUGAUUCCCAGGUGAUUCACGUGCACAGUAAAGUUUGAGAAACACAGCUGUGGACACAGUUUAGGCAGCAUUUUGCUGAGGACUGCUAGCACUGCCAACAUCUCACCUUCUAUCUUCUGUCUUAAUGUCUUUUUUUGCAUCUGAGUCAUGCAAAGUGGUUGUUUCCUUGAGUCCUUCCUAUGUUUACUCAUCCUACUCCCUACUAAAAAUAUUAAGAGCUGCUUGCCAUCCCUUGCCCUUACCUAGCCUAGCUGUUGUGAAUAUACACCCAGAUACCCACAGCCUGCUCUGCAACUCUCCUGCCCUCAAUUUGAGGACAACAGGCCAGGACCUCUCUAGUUCAGCCUGGACUUCUGUCUGCUGCCCCAUUCCUCAGCCCUUCAGAUAGGCAUUCCCUCCUGGAUACCCUCGGCAGAGAGAGAACAUUUGUUAUGCAUGCAUCAUGUACCAUCUGGAACUAUGCCAGAUGUUUUAUAUGUAGUAUCUCCUUGAUGCCUAAACCACACCCCUCUUUUCCCAGAUUUCUCUCCCUUCCGUGGGUCCUAACCCAUAUGCAAAUCCUAACCGCUGGCUGGGGUCUGUUUCUCACUUGGUUCUUGCCUGUCCCCAGUUUCUGGAAGGAUAAGUCCAUAACUAGACUGCCUUGUCUUGCUCUGAUGAAAUUCUCAGAAUGACCCAGCUUGGAGCUUGUCUUUUCAGCACAGUUCUGGAAAUUAUCCUUUGAUUGAUUCCUCUGCAUGUGACAUCCUCUUGAGACCUUGGUGUGGACAUCAGUUGGCAUUGCCUGUCCAGGUUCCUACCCCUUCCUUUCAGUCACUGCAUUCUGCUUUCCCUUUGUGAAAAGACCUCCUCCCCUAUUGAAGUAGUCUUGGGCCUGUCAAUUGAAGGAUGCCUAUGGGACACAAAAUCCCAAGAAUCUACUUAGGUCCAACUUGAAAGUGCUGAGCCCCUGUAGGUCCUUGAAGGCUGGCCUAUCCCUUGUGGGGGGCUGGGAGAUGCCAUUUUGGCCUAAUUUCCCUGAAUUCUUUAAUACUCCUAUUCCCCUCCUCCUUCUGGAAAUCUGUACAUUGGCUAUGCAGUCUGGCCUCCUGAAGGUUAUGAUAGUAGCCAAAAAUAUAGAAGCCAAAAAGGCAUCCACCUUCUUCAUCAAUCCAGAAUUGAUCAUGCUCAUGCCUGUGGGUGGAUCACUAUGUGCUCUCCAAAUUGGGAGGGGAAGUCUACUCUCCUCUCUCCUCUCUCUCCCACCUUCCCCUCUCUCUUCUCUCCUUUCUAUUCCCAGGGCAGUGGAACAUGAUGAGGUUCUUUUCUCUUCAUGGAUAUCCUCUUUCUGCCCUCCACAUAAAGGGGCAUUGAUGGAUCUUCAAGAAUGGGAUGCCUUUCCCUAGAAAGGCUAAAUAUUCAUGAGGCUGAAUGUGAGGAUCCAGAGUACACUGAAAUAUAACUGGUCAUCAGUACACAUAGAAUCUGAUCACAUUGUUCACUUGGGCUGACCAGAUCUUGGAUGACCAGAUUUUCAGAGUAGAAAAUUGGCUGUGUUCUGGCUGCUGAAAGAUUCUACUAGCCCUCUAAUGAAGCUGCCAGAAGACAACCAUGGAGUCUCCCUUCCACUCACUCUCCUGGUCCCUCCACUUCAGAGACCCAAUGGCUUCAGGUACCUGACUGAGUGUCAGCAGGUGUGGUUUGCAUUUUAUUUCCCUUGCCAAAGCAGGGGAAGGCAGCAUGAUAGGAUAUGCAUAAAGCACAGCAAGCAAAUGUCCACCACUGUCAACACAUAGUACAUGCUUAAACAUUGUUAAUUAUCUCUCUACCAAAGGUGUUUAGGAGGAACAUUCCCAAACACAAGCCAUACUGGAGUAGCAGUCCAUGAUGAAGUUAGGAGGGAAAGAAGAAAGAGUCACCUUCUAACAAUGUACUUGACAAAACUAUGCUUUCUACCUGGGUGGACGAUGCAGCUUGGGAAAGUGAACCCUGGGUCAUAACAUCCACCUCAAUGCUGUAGGCUCUGGGUGAAGACAGGGGUCUAACCCUGCAACCCCUUCCCCAAAUGCUUCAGGAAUUCUCCCAAAUGCAGGCCCUUCUUAGCUUACUUCCAGGGCCUCUGAACAACUCCCCACAUGACUUACCUGAGCAGAACUACAGGUCUAAAUAUAAGCAUUCCCAGCCUAACAUAGUCUUAUGAAGUAAAACAUGAGAUGUGGAUAAGAGAGGAAACCUGACAGAACUUUUUUUUUUUUUUUAAUUUUUGAGAUGGAGUCCUGCUCUGUCACCCAGGCUGGAGUGCAGUGGCACAAUCUCAGCUCACUGCAAGCUCCGCCUCCUGGGUUCAUGCCAUUCUCCUGCUUCAGCCUCCCAAGUAGCUGGGACUACAGGUGCCCAC
This 14735-nucleotide long non-coding RNA is filed under the name Homo sapiens (human). RNAcentral's name for it is "non-protein coding ENTPD1-AS1:32". Lineage: Eukaryota; Metazoa; Chordata; Mammalia; Primates; Hominidae. The record is from RNAcentral.